Molecule: ribosomal RNA, 497 nt
Filed under: uncultured bacterium
Lineage: Bacteria
Description: partial 16S ribosomal RNA
Rfam family: Bacterial small subunit ribosomal RNA
Source: RNAcentral
UAUUAACUCUGGCGGCGUGCCUAAUACAUGCAAGUCGAGCGAACGGACGAGAAGCUUGCUUCUCUGAUGUUAGCGGCGGACGGGUGAGUAACACGUGGAUAACCUACCUAUAAGACUGGGAUAACUUCGGGAAACCGGAGCUAAUACCGGAUAAUAUUUUGAACCGCAUGGUUCAAAAGUGAAAGACGGUCUUGCUGUCACUUAUAGAUGGAUCCGCGCUGCAUUAGCUAGUUGGUAAGGUAACGGCUUACCAAGGCAAAGAUGCAUAGCCGACCUGAGAGGGUGAUCGGCCACACUGGAACUGAGACACGGUCCAGACUCCUACGGGAGGCAGCAGUAGGGAAUCUUCCGCAAUGGGCGAAAGCCUGACGGAGCAACGCCGCGUGAGUGAUGAAGGUCUUCGGAUCGUAAAACUCUGUUAUUAGGGAAGAACAUAUGUGUAAGUAACUGUGCACAUCUUGACGGUACCUAAUCAGAAAGCCACGGCUAACUACGUG